RNAcentral lists this small nucleolar RNA (109 nucleotides) under Sorghum bicolor (sorghum). RNAcentral describes it as "Plant small nucleolar RNA R71". It matches the Rfam family "Plant small nucleolar RNA R71". From Rfam's summary of the family: R71 is a member of the C/D box family of snoRNAs containing the C (UGAUGA) and D (CUGA) box motifs. The record is from Rfam by way of RNAcentral. Lineage: Eukaryota; Viridiplantae; Streptophyta; Magnoliopsida; Poales; Poaceae.
AUUCCAUAAUGAGGAUAGUCUUCAAUGUAAUUUUCGAAUCUUUCCCAUGCUUCAGUAAAUGAUUCAUCUUGUUGUUGUUGGAAACUUGAAAUCUUCCCACACAAAGCAU